Molecule: ribosomal RNA, 299 nt
Filed under: uncultured bacterium
Lineage: Bacteria
Description: partial 16S ribosomal RNA
Rfam family: Bacterial small subunit ribosomal RNA
Source: RNAcentral
AUUGAACGCUGGCGGCAUGCCUUACACAUGCAAGUCGAACGGCAGCACGGGAGCAAUCCUGGUGGCGGAGUGGCGAACGGGUGAGUAAUAUAUCGGAACGUGCCCAGUCGUGGGGAUAACGUAGCGAAAGCUACGCUAAUACCGCAUACGAAUCUAUGGAUGAAAAGCGGGGGAUCGCAAGACCUCGCGCGAUUGGAGCGGCCGAUAUCAGAUUAGGUAGUUGGUGAGGUAAAGGCUCGCCAAGCCGACGAUCUGUAGCUGGUCUGAGAGGACGGACCAGCCACACUGGGACUGAGACA